UACGGAGGGUGCAAGCGUUAUCCGGAUUCACUGGGUUUAAAGGGUGCGUAGGCGGGCAGGUAAGUCCGUGGUGAAAUCUCUGAGCUUAACUCAGAAACUGCCAUGGAUACUAUUUGUCUUGAAUAUUGUGGAGGUGAGCGGAAUAUGUCAUGUAGCGGUGAAAUGCUUAGAUAUGACAUAGAACACCAAUUGCGAAGGCAGCUCACUACACAGUUAUUGACGCUGAGGCACGAAAGCGUGGGGAGCAAACAGG
Molecule: ribosomal RNA, 253 nt
Filed under: uncultured bacterium
Lineage: Bacteria
Description: partial 16S ribosomal RNA
Rfam family: Bacterial small subunit ribosomal RNA
Source: RNAcentral